RNAcentral lists this unclassified non-coding RNA (217 nucleotides) under Hevea brasiliensis (rubber tree). The record is from RNAcentral. Lineage: Eukaryota; Viridiplantae; Streptophyta; Magnoliopsida; Malpighiales; Euphorbiaceae.
GGCUGAUCAGGAUUUCCAAUGCGACUGCUGGUCGUAGAGAAGGGAGGGGCAUGGUGCUCCCAACCAUGAUAAUGGAGAUCCAUGGCAGGGAAAGCAUAGGAACUAGGAAUCUCACUAGGCACUGAUGGACCAUUCCAGUGAUUAUUAAAAUUCGAACCAUCUGAAACACUUCCACUGGAGUUGGAAGUUGAUGGAUGAAUUGGUCCAAAAUAAGCAA